UACAGAGGUGCCAAGCGUUAGGCGGAAUUACUGGGCGUAAAGCGCGUGUAGGCGGCCCUGUAAGUCUGAUGUGAAAGCGCCCGGCUCAACCGGGCGAGGCCAUUGGAAACUACAAAGCUGGAGGGCAGUAGAGGCAGGCGGAAUUCCGGGUGGAGUGGUGAAAUGCGUAGAGAUCCGGAGGAACACCAGAGGCGAAGGCGGCCUGCUGGGCUGCACCUGACGCUGAGCCGCGAAAGCCAGGGGAGCGAACGGG
RNAcentral lists this ribosomal RNA (253 nucleotides) under uncultured bacterium. RNAcentral's name for it is "partial 16S ribosomal RNA". It matches the Rfam family "Bacterial small subunit ribosomal RNA", at positions 524 to 776 of the family's 1533-position model. The record is from RNAcentral.